UACGGAGGGGGCUAGCGUUGUUCGGAAUUACUGGGCGUAAAGGGCUCGUAGGCGGCCCACUAAGUCCGCCGUGAAAUCCCCAGGCUUAACUUGGGAACUGCGUCGGAUACUGGUGGGCUUGAAUCCGGGAGAGGGAUGCGGAAUUCCAGGUGUAGCGGUGAAAUGCGUAGAUAUCGGGAGGAACACCAGUGGCGAAGGCGAGCUUCUGGACGGAUACUGACGCUGAGGCGCGAAAGCGAGGGGAGCAAACGGG
RNAcentral lists this ribosomal RNA (253 nucleotides) under uncultured bacterium. RNAcentral describes it as "partial 16S ribosomal RNA". It matches the Rfam family "Bacterial small subunit ribosomal RNA", at positions 524 to 776 of the family's 1533-position model. The record is from RNAcentral.